CGGGUGAGUAACACGUGAGGAACCUGCCCCGAAGACCGGGACAACACCGGGAAACCGGUGCUAAUACCGGAUACCUUCACCGGAUCGCAUGUUCUGGUGAAGAAAUGGAUUCCGCUUCGGGAUGGCCUCGCGGCCUAUCAGCUUGUUGGUGAGGUAACGGCUCACCAAGGCGACGACGGGUAGCUGGUCUGAGAGGAUGUCCAGCCACACUGGGACUGAGACACGGCCCAG
Molecule: ribosomal RNA, 231 nt
Filed under: uncultured bacterium
Lineage: Bacteria
Description: partial 16S ribosomal RNA
Rfam family: Bacterial small subunit ribosomal RNA
Source: RNAcentral